AUUGAACGCUAGCGGCAUGCUUUACACAUGCAAGUCGAACGGUAACAGGUUAAGCUGACGAGUGGCGAACGGGUGAGUAAUGCAUCGGAACGUGCCCGAUCGUGGGGGAUAACGCAGCGAAAGCUGCGCUAAUACCGCAUACGAUCUGAGGAUGAAAGCGGGGGACCGUAAGGCCUCGCGCGAUCGGAGCGGCCGAUGUCAGAUUAGGUAGUUGGUGGGGUAAAGGCUCACCAAGCCAACGGUCGGUAGCUGGUCUGAGAGGACGACCAGCCACAGGGGGACUGGGAAACGGCCCAGACUCCUACGGGAGGCAGCAGUGGGGAAUUUUGGACAAUGGGCGAAAGCCUGAUCCAGCAAUGCCGCGUGCAGGAAGAAGGCCUUCGGGCUGUAAACUGCUUUUGUACGGAGCGAAAAGGUCUCCUCUAAUACAGGGGGCUCAUGACGGUACCGUAAGAAUAAGCACCGGCUAACUACGUGCCAGCCGCCGCCGUAA
RNAcentral lists this ribosomal RNA (493 nucleotides) under uncultured bacterium. RNAcentral describes it as "partial 16S ribosomal RNA". It matches the Rfam family "Bacterial small subunit ribosomal RNA", at positions 29 to 523 of the family's 1533-position model. The record is from RNAcentral.